This 492-nucleotide ribosomal RNA is filed under the name uncultured bacterium. RNAcentral describes it as "partial 16S ribosomal RNA". It matches the Rfam family "Bacterial small subunit ribosomal RNA", at positions 30 to 507 of the family's 1533-position model. The record is from RNAcentral.
AUUGAACGCUGGCGGUAGGCCUAACACAUGCAAGUCGAACGGCAGCACAGUAAGAGCUUGCUCUUACGGGUGGCGAGUGGCGGACGGGUGAGGAAUACAUCGCAAUCUACUUUUUCGUGGGUGAUAACGUAGGGAAACUUACGCUAAUACCGCAUACGACCUACGGGUGGCAUCAUCGGAUCUUCGGCCCUUGCGCGAUUGAAUGAGCCGAUGUCGGAUUAGCUAGUUGGCGGGGUAAAGGCCCACCAAGGCGACGAUCCGUAGCUGGUCUGAGAGGAUGAUCAGCCACACUGGAACUGAGACACGGUCCAGACUCCUACGGGAGGCAGCAGUGGGGAAUAUUGGACAAUGGGCGCAAGCCUGAUCCAGCCAUACCGCGUGGGUGAAGAAGGCCUUCGGGUUGUAAAGCCCUUUUGUUGGGAAAGAAAAGCAGCAGGUUAAUACCCCGCUGUUCUGACGGUACCCAAAGAAUAAGCACCGGCUAACUUCGUG